GAUGAACGCUGGCGGCGUGCCUAAUACAUGCAAGUCGAGCGAACAGACGAGGAGCUUGCUCCUCUGACGUUAGCGGCGGACGGGUGAGUAACACGUGGAUAACCUACCUAUAAGACUGGGAUAACUUCGGGAAACCGGAGCUAAUACCGGAUAAUAUAUUGAACCGCAUGGUUCAAUAGUGAAAGACGGUUUUGCUGUCACUUAUAGAUGGAUCCGCGCCGCAUUAGCUAGUUGGUAAGGUAACGGCUUACCAAGGCGACGAUGCGUAGCCGACCUGAGAGGGUGAACGGCCCGACGGGAACUGAGAAACGGACCAGACUGCGAAGGGAGGCAGCAGCAGGGAAUCUUGAGCAAGGGGCGAAUGCCUGAAGGAGGAACGACGAGUGUGUGAUGAAGGUAUUCGGAUCGAAAAACUCUGUUAUUAGGGAAGAACAAACGUGUAAGUACAUAUGCACGUAUUGACGGUACCUAAUCAGAGAGCCACAGCUAACUACGUA
Molecule: ribosomal RNA, 497 nt
Filed under: uncultured bacterium
Lineage: Bacteria
Description: partial 16S ribosomal RNA
Rfam family: Bacterial small subunit ribosomal RNA
Source: RNAcentral